UGAUUCUGAUGAUGUUAGGUUAACAAGAGCAAAUUGUACACACAAUUUUAGUUCCUGUAAAUAUAUAGAACUUGGCAUCAGUCACAUUGUGAUGGUAAAUCUUUCUGCUAUUUACAUUUUGUCAGGGUAAACCAGUAUGCACAGGACAAAUUGUGCAGUCUUUCAGCGUUGACAGCUGUUAAGUUAUAAUUAGAUGGAGAUAGUCAGUGUGUGUUCAGGUGUCGUUGCACUCGAACAUCUCAGCAGCUGAUGCCACUGAUUAGCACACCUUCCACCUGCUAAUGAGCUCCAGUGAGGCCCAAACAUUUUUGGGGACCACGGAAGACUGUUUGCACUGAUUUCAGUUGGGUUGUCAAUCCGGAAGCCUCCGCCAACGAAGUGAGGCUUGCUGCUCAGCUGGGGCAGAGGUUCCAGCUGCUCCACCUUGGUCUUGGUCAUCUGCUCACUAAUGAGACACACAGAGCUCCAGGACAUCAGAGAUUCUCUCUCUGAUGGUCCACUGGCACUGCUGGAGCUGCUCAGCUGCCUCUGGACCAGGCUGCCGGGCCAGGAUGUGCUUCAGUUCCACAUACAGCUUCUCCUUUUCCUUGGUGGGAAGAAGAAGAAGGAAAGGAAGAAUGAUGGCAACGAAAUCAAGUACAGUACUUCAAGUCAAGCUGAGUUAUGCUGAACCGAGAAGAACCAUGCAGUGGAAAAGAGGCUUUAGACAGCUGAUAGAAGUAAGAGAUAGCAGAUGUUACAACGCUGAGGGUCUUAUUUAUGGAACUCUGGAGAAUCCACACUAAAUGUUUGCAUACGAACAAAUGAGGAAAUACGUUCUUUGACUGAUGAGAGUUGCUCACACUCCUGCUGCAGCUUAGUAUUCUUCACCUGCAUCUGCUCCAGCUCCUUGGUGGAUCGCUCAUUCAUGAUCUGUUGCAGUCAGCGAAGAGAUUGGAUGGGUGGGGAGAAGUUUAUUACACACUGCAGCACAGUAACAACAGAUUCAGAGCCUUGACGUCCCCCAUCUUGGCUUCCAUGUCCAUGUGCAGCUGCUUCACCUCCUUGUCCAGCUUCUCUUUCAACCUCAUCUCUCGGGAAAUCUCAUUCUGCUGUACCUGGAGCUCCUGCUGG
This is a long non-coding RNA of Acanthopagrus latus (yellowfin seabream), 1113 nucleotides long. RefSeq lists it as uncharacterized. The transcript has 8 exons. Lineage: Eukaryota; Metazoa; Chordata; Actinopteri; Spariformes; Sparidae. The record is from RefSeq and is a predicted model, not a curated record.